RNAcentral lists this ribosomal RNA (460 nucleotides) under uncultured bacterium. Its description in RNAcentral is "partial 16S ribosomal RNA". It matches the Rfam family "Bacterial small subunit ribosomal RNA", at positions 338 to 795 of the family's 1533-position model. The record is from RNAcentral.
CCUACGGGGGGCAGCAGUGAGGAAUAUUGGUCAAUGGGCGCGAGCCUGAACCAGCCACAUAGCGUGAAGGAUGACUGCCCUACGGGUUGUAAACUUCUUUUAUAAGGGAAUACAGUGAGGCUCGUGUGCCUUUUUGUAUGUACUUUAUGAAUAAGGAUCGGCUAACUCCGUGCCAGCAGCUGCGGUAAUACGGAGGAUCCGAGCGUUACCCGGAUUUAUUGGGUUUAAAGGGAUCGUAGAUGUGUUGGUAAGUUCGUUGUGAAAGUUUGCGGAUUAACCGUAAAAUUGCAAUUGAUACUGGCAGCCUUGAGUACAGUUGAGGUAGGCGGAAUUCGUGGUGGAGCGGUGAAAUGCUUAGAUAUCACGAAGAACUCCGAUUGCGAAGGCAGCUUACUAAACUGCCACUGACAUUGAUGCUCGAAAGUGUGGGUAUCAAACAGGAUUAGAUACCCCAGUAGUC